GUGCACUCCAGCAGCACAUAAACUAAAAUGGGGAUGAUACAGAGAAGAUUAGCAUGGCUCCUGUACAAGGAUGACAUACCAGUUGGUGAAGCAUUCCAUAAUGUU
Small nuclear RNA from Perognathus longimembris pacificus (Pacific pocket mouse), 105 nucleotides. The record is from RefSeq and is a predicted model, not a curated record. NCBI's taxonomy places the organism in Eukaryota, Metazoa, Chordata, Mammalia, Rodentia, Heteromyidae.